UGGGGAAUUUUCCGCAAUGGGCGCAAGCCUGACGGAGCAACGCCGCGUGAGGGAGGAAGGCCUGUGGGUUGUAAACCUCUUUUCUCUAGGAAGAAGAUUUGACGGUACUAGAGGAAUCAGCAUCGGCUAACUCCGUGCCAGCAGCCGCGGUAAGACGGAGGAUGCAAGCGUUAUCCGGAAUUAUUGGGCGUAAAGCGUCCGCAGGUGGUGCCUCAAGUCUGCUGUCAAAGACCGAAGCUCAACUUCGGGCAGGCAGUGGAAACUGAAGCACUAGAGUACGGUAGGGGUAGAGGGAAUUUCCAGUGUAGCGGUGAAAUGCGUAGAGAUUGGAAAGAACACCAGUGGCGAAGGCGCUCUACUGGACCGUAACUGACACUCAGGGACGAAAGCUAGGGGAGCGAAAGGGAUUAGAUACCCCCGUAGUCC
Molecule: ribosomal RNA, 426 nt
Filed under: uncultured prokaryote
Description: bacterial SSU rRNA
Rfam family: Bacterial small subunit ribosomal RNA
Source: RNAcentral